CAGCCGCGUAAUUCCAGCUCCAAUAGCGUAUAUUAAAGUUGUUGCAGUUAAAAAGCUCGUAGUUGAAUUUCGGGAUCAAUAUAUCGGUCGUGCCUUGGUACGUACUGGUAUCAUUGGUUUCUCCUUUCUGACGAACCAUGAUGUCAUUAAUUUGGUGUUAUGGGAAGUUAGGACUGUUACUUUGAAAAAAUUAGAGUGUUUAAAGCAGGCUUUAGCUUGAAUACAUUAGCAUGGAAUAAUGAAAUAGGACGUUCGAACCUAUUUUGUUGGUUUCUAGGAUCAACGUAAUGAUUAAUAGGGAUAGUUGGGGGCAUUAGUAUUCAAUUGUCAGAGGUGAAAUUCUUGGAUUUAUUGAAGACUAACUACUGCGAAAGCAUUUGCCAAGGAUGUUUUCAUUAAUCAAGAACGAAAGUUAGGGGAUCGAAGACGAUCAGAUACCGUCGUAGUCUUAACCAUAAACUAUGCCGACUAGGGAUCGGAUGAUGUUAAUUUUUUAAUGACUCAUUCGGCGCCUUACG
This 518-nucleotide unclassified non-coding RNA is filed under the name uncultured Glomeromycotina. RNAcentral's name for it is "SSU rRNA". It matches the Rfam family "Eukaryotic small subunit ribosomal RNA", at positions 571 to 1092 of the family's 1831-position model. The record is from RNAcentral. Lineage: Eukaryota; Fungi; Glomeromycota.